AAUAAAUUUUUUAUGGUUUAAAAAUUUUAUUAUAAAUUUAUUUUACAUAUAAAUUUUAGUGUUAAUUAUUAUUUAUUUAAACAAUAAAUAAUUAUUUUAUGUAGUAAUUAAUUUUAAAAAUUUAAGAAAUUAAGAUUUAGUAAUAUAAAAAUUAUUAACUAAUUUUGUGCCAGCAGUUGCGGUUAUACAAAAAUUGAUUUAAAAUUUUUUAGAUAUUAAUAAAUAAAGUAUAUUUUAUAAUAUAAAAAUUAAAUUAUUAAGUGAAAUUUUAAUUUAAUAAAAAAUUAUUUAAAAAUUAUGAAUUAAUAAAUUUAAUAAAAAACUAGGAUUAGAUACCCUAUUAUUAAAAUUUAAAUUAUUAUGCUAAAAUAGUAGGUAAUUUUUUAUUGAAACUUAAAUAAUUUGGCGGUAUUUUAGUUUAUUUAGAGGAAUCUGUUUAAUAAUUGAUAAUCCACGAAUAAAUUUACUUAAUUUAAAAUUUUGUAUAUCGUUGUUAAAAAAAUAUUUUUUAAUAAAAAUAAUAUUUAAAAAUUUUAAAAUAAAAUUAAAUCAGAUCAAGAUGCAGAUUAUAAUUAAGAAUAUAAUGGAUUACAAUAAAUUUAUUUAAUUGGAUUUUAAUAUGAAAUAAUUAAAUGAAAUUGGAUUUAAAUGUAAUUUUAUUUAAUUUAAUAAAAUGAUUAAAUAUUAAAAUAUGUACAUAUUGCCCGUCGCUUUCAUUAAUAAAUUGAAAUAAGUCGUAACAAAGUAGAAGUACUGGAAAGUGUUUCUAGAAAGAU
RNAcentral lists this non-coding RNA (776 nucleotides) under Manduca sexta (tobacco hornworm). Lineage: Eukaryota; Metazoa; Arthropoda; Insecta; Lepidoptera; Sphingidae. The record is from RNAcentral.